UGGUGGAGUGAUUUGUCUGGUUAAUUCCGAUAACGAACGAGACCCCAACCUGCUAACUAGACUGGUCUAGUUCACGCUAGAUCAGCGCUUCUUAGAGGGACAUUUCGGAUUUACCGGAAGGAAGUUUGGGGCGAUAACA
RNAcentral lists this ribosomal RNA (139 nucleotides) under uncultured eukaryote. Its description in RNAcentral is "partial 18S ribosomal RNA". It matches the Rfam family "Eukaryotic small subunit ribosomal RNA", at positions 1299 to 1458 of the family's 1831-position model. The record is from RNAcentral.